RNAcentral lists this long non-coding RNA (901 nucleotides) under Mytilus galloprovincialis (Mediterranean mussel). The record is from RNAcentral. Lineage: Eukaryota; Metazoa; Mollusca; Bivalvia; Mytilida; Mytilidae.
AACCAGGUGCUCCGCAGGGCGCAGCUUUAUACGACCCCAGUGGUUGAACCCUGAACAGUUGGGGCAAAUUUGGUCACAAUAUUCAAGCUUGAUUCUGUCUGAAUUUGGAUUGUGAUCAAUUUUUGACAUAAUAUAGGUUUUUGUCACAAAAUUAAUGUGGUCAAAGAUCUAACAAAUCUAUUGCACAAUACUGUGCAAUUGAAGAUUUCUUCUUGAAACUUUUCAAAAUUCGAAAUUUGAAAAAUUAAAAAAAAAAAAGAAGAGCCCUUCAAAUAAUGGUAAACAAAAAAUCCCCCCCCCCCAACGUUUUGAAACCCCCUUGGAGCAAUAACCCUUAAACUCAAUCCCAUGCUUUCCAUUGCAGUAUUGAACCUUGUAGUACAAUUUCAGAGAGAUCCAUACACUUAAACACAAGUUAUUGUCAUGAUUGUUUGGAAACUAGAAACAUGCUUCUUUUGGCCCUUUUUUGGCCCCUUAUUGCUACAUAUUUUGGGCAAUUAACCCAAAACUUAAUCCCAGCCUUCCCUUUGUUAUAUGGUACAUUGUGGUACAAUUUCAGAGAGAUCCAUACAAUUACACAUAAGUUAUUGUCUUGUAACUAGAAAAAUGCUUGUUUUGACCCUUUUUUGUCCCUUAAUUCCUAAACUUUGGCCCCAUAACCCCUAAAAUGAAUCCAAACCUUCUACUUGUGGUUUUAAACAUUGCGGUAUGAUUUCAGAGCAAUUGAAAUACUUCUACACAAGUUAUUAUCCUGAAACUAGAAAAAUGUUUGUUUUGGGCCCCUAAUUCCUAAUCGGUUGGGACCAUCAUCCCCAAAUCAAUCCCAACCUUCCUUUUGUGGUAUUGAACCUUCUGAAAAAAUUUCAUGAAGAUCUAUUCACUUAAACUAAAGUUAUUAUCC